GGGGAUUUAGCUCAGUGGUAGAGCACUUGCCUAGCAAGCUCAAGCCCUGGGUUCGGCCCUCAGCUCCCCA
Molecule: transfer RNA, 70 nt
Filed under: Rattus norvegicus (Norway rat)
Lineage: Eukaryota; Metazoa; Chordata; Mammalia; Rodentia; Muridae
Rfam family: tRNA
About the family: Transfer RNA (tRNA) molecules are approximately 80 nucleotides in length. Their secondary structure includes four short double-helical elements and three loops (D, anti-codon, and T loops). Further hydrogen bonds mediate the characteristic L-shaped molecular structure. tRNAs have two regions of fundamental functional importance: the anti-codon, which is responsible for specific mRNA codon recognition, and the 3' end, to which the tRNAs corresponding amino acid is attached (by aminoacyl-tRNA synthetases). tRNAs cope with the degeneracy of the genetic code in two manners: having more than one tRNA (with a specific anti-codon) for a particular amino acid; and 'wobble' base-pairing, i.e. permitting non-standard base-pairing at the 3rd anti-codon position.
Source: Rfam by way of RNAcentral